Molecule: non-coding RNA, 265 nt
Organism: Pelobates cultripes (western spadefoot toad)
Lineage: Eukaryota; Metazoa; Chordata; Amphibia; Anura; Pelobatidae
Source: the annotation of a GenBank genome assembly
GUUGAGGAAGAAAUUGAUCACAAAGGUUUAAGAUUGUUUGUGUAUUAUAAUAAUUGUGUUACUGGAUGCUGAUGGAUCCCUAUUCCCCCCCCCCCCCCAUCAGUCCUACAGAUCUCGUCACCCUCAUCCUCUCUCUGCAGCUCCCUGCACCUCCAGUCCGUUUCUCCCGUCAAAGAUUUCUGGUUUCCAAACGUAUAAGUCUCUGUCCUUCUGUCUUGUUACUUUACAGCACUCACAUGGUUAAUCUUCAUGCCUGCAGUCUCUC